AGUGAACGCUGGCGGCAGGCCUAACACAUGCAAGUCGAGCGGCAGCGGGUCCUUCGGGAUGCCGGCGAGCGGCGGACGGGUGAGGAAUGCGUCGGAAUCUGCCUUUUGGUGGGGGAUAACGUAGGGAAACUUACGCUAAUACCGCAUACGACCUACGGGUGAAAGUGGGGGACCGCAAGGCCUCACGCAGAAAGAUGAGCCGACGCCGGAUUAGCUAGUUGGCGGGGUAAAGGCCCACCAAGGCGACGAUCCGUAGCUGGUCUGAGAGGAUGAUCAGCCACACUGGAACUGAGACACGGCCCAGACUCCUACGGGAGGCAGCAGUGGGGAAUAUUGGACAAUGGGCGCAAGCCUGAUCCAGCCAUGCCGCGUGAGUGAAGAAGGCCUUCGGGUUGUAAAGCUCUUUUGUUGGGGAAGAAAAGCUUCGGAUUAAUACUUCGGAGUUCUGACGGUACCCAAAGAAUAAGCACCGGCUAACUUCGUGCCAGCAGCCGCGGUAAUACGAAGGGUGCAAGCGUUACUCGGAAUUACUGGGCGUAAAGCGUGCGUAGGUGGUUCGUUAAGUCUGAUGUGAAGCCCGGGGCUCAACCUGGGAACUUGCAUUUGGAUACCUGGCC
This 617-nucleotide ribosomal RNA is filed under the name uncultured bacterium. Its description in RNAcentral is "bacterial SSU rRNA". It matches the Rfam family "Bacterial small subunit ribosomal RNA", at positions 28 to 638 of the family's 1533-position model. The record is from RNAcentral.